UACGGAGGGUGCAAGCGUUAUCCGGAUUUACUGGGUUUAAAGGGUGCGUAGGUGGGCAGUUAAGUCAGUGGUGAAAUCUCCGAGCUUAACUCGGAAACUGCCAUUGAUACUAUCUGUCUUGAAUAUCCUGGAGGUGAGCGGAAUAUGUCAUGUAGCGGUGAAAUGCUUAGAUAUGACAUAGAACACCAAUUGCGAAGGCAGCUCACUACGGGAUUAUUGACACUGAGGCACGAAAGCGUGGAUCAAACAGG
Molecule: ribosomal RNA, 251 nt
Filed under: uncultured bacterium
Lineage: Bacteria
Description: partial 16S ribosomal RNA
Rfam family: Bacterial small subunit ribosomal RNA
Source: RNAcentral